Molecule: ribosomal RNA, 450 nt
Filed under: uncultured bacterium
Lineage: Bacteria
Description: SSU rRNA
Rfam family: Bacterial small subunit ribosomal RNA
Source: RNAcentral
AGAGCGAACGCUGGCGGCAUGCUUAACACAUGCAAGUCGCACGGGCAGGGGCAACCCUGUCAGUGGCGGACGGGUGAGUAACGCGUAGGUAUCUAUCCUUGGGUGGGGGACAACCGUGGGAAACUACGGCUAAUACCGCAUGAUGACUGAGGUCCAAAGCCCGCGAGGGUGCCUGGGGAGGAGCCUGCGUACGAUUAGCUAGUUGGUGGGGUAAAGGCCUACCAAGGCGAUGAUCGUUAGCUGGUCUGAGAGGAUGAUCAGCCACAUUGGGACUGAGACACGGCCCAAACUCCUACGGGAGGCAGCAGUGGGGAAUAUUGGACAAUGGGCGCAAGCCUGAUCCAGCAAUGCCGCGUGUGUGAUGAGGCCCUAGGGUUGUAAAGCUCUUUGUGCGGGAAGAUAAUGACGGUACCGCAAGAAUAAGCCCGGCUAACUCGCGCCAGCAGCCGC